GUGCUCGCUUCGGCAGCACAUAUACUAAAAUUGGCCCCUGCACAAAGAUGACACGCAAAUUCGUAAAGCGUCCCAUAUUUAA
This 82-nucleotide small nuclear RNA is filed under the name Mustela putorius furo (domestic ferret). Lineage: Eukaryota; Metazoa; Chordata; Mammalia; Carnivora; Mustelidae. The record is from RNAcentral.